This 465-nucleotide ribosomal RNA is filed under the name Vreelandella stevensii. Its description in RNAcentral is "partial 16S ribosomal RNA". It matches the Rfam family "Bacterial small subunit ribosomal RNA", at positions 338 to 795 of the family's 1533-position model. Lineage: Bacteria; Pseudomonadati; Pseudomonadota; Gammaproteobacteria; Oceanospirillales; Halomonadaceae. The record is from RNAcentral.
CCUACGGGUGGCUGCAGUGGGGAAUAUUGGACAAUGGGGGCAACCCUGAUGCAGCCAUGCCGCGUGUGUGAAGAAGGCCCUCGGGUUGUAAGGCACUUUCAGUGAGGAAGAACGCCUGGUGGUUAAUACCCAUCAGGAAAGACAUCACUCACAGAAGAAGCACCGGCUAACUCCGUGCCAGCAGCCGCGGUAAUACGGAGGGUGCGAGCGUUAAUCGGAAUUACUGGGCGUAAAGCGCGCGUAGGUGGCUUGAUAAGCCGGUUGUGAAAGCCCCGGGCUCAACCUGGGAACGGCAUCCGGAAAUGGCAAGCUAGAGUGCAGGAGAGGAAGGUAGAAUUCCCGGUGUAGCGGUGAAAUGCGUAGAGAUCGGGAGGAAUACCAGUGGCGAAGGCGGCCUUCUGGACUGACACUGACACUGAGGUGCGAAAGCGUGGGUAGCAAACAGGAUUAGAUACCCGUGUAGUC